RNAcentral lists this ribosomal RNA (480 nucleotides) under Triticum aestivum (bread wheat). Its description in RNAcentral is "partial small subunit ribosomal RNA". Lineage: Eukaryota; Viridiplantae; Streptophyta; Magnoliopsida; Poales; Poaceae. The record is from RNAcentral.
AUGAGUCGUCAUGAUGGCAUCAACAUCCCCGAUGGCAAGUUCUACCUUGGAGAUGCUGACUAUGCAUGUCGGCCAGAUGUUCUUCCACCCUUCAGGAAAACCAGGUACCAUCUGAACGAGUUUGCUGGUAGGACCUAUCCUAGGACUCCUCAGGAACUGUUCAAUCUCAGACACUCCAGCCUUAGAGUGGUUGUUGAGAGGGCCUUUGGAGCUCUGAAGAACAGGUUUAAGAUCCUGGAUCAGAAGCCAUUCUACCCUUACCCUACUCAGGUGAAGCUUGUUCUGGCAUGUUGCAUCAUUCACAACUGGAUCCUGCAAUGGGAAGUUGAUGAAUUUGUGCCGGAGGAGGAGGAUGUGACUCCUGAUAAGGUGAUCAGCUCAGGCCAUGGUGUGGAGGCGUUCGACAAUGAAGCAUGGAAGAACAAAAUGUUGGAGUGGGCUCAGGCAAUGUUGGAUAAUAGAGGUCAGACAAGGAUCUAA